RNAcentral lists this transfer RNA (72 nucleotides) under Ixodes scapularis (black-legged tick). It matches the Rfam family "tRNA". From Rfam's summary of the family: Transfer RNA (tRNA) molecules are approximately 80 nucleotides in length. The record is from Rfam by way of RNAcentral. Lineage: Eukaryota; Metazoa; Arthropoda; Arachnida; Ixodida; Ixodidae.
CCCUGGUUAGUUCAAUUGGUAGAGCGCUCCACCUGUAAUGAGAGGUCUCGGGUUCAAUACCCGGACCAGGCG